GCCUAGAGAUGAGCUCGCGUCUGAUUAGCUAGUAGGUGGGGUAAGAGCCUACCUAGGCGACGAUCAGUAGCUGGUCUGAGAGGAUGAUCAGCCACACUGGGACUGAGACACGGCCCAGACUCCUACGGGAGGCAGCAGUGGGGAAUUUUCCGCAAUGGGCGAAAGCCUGACGGAGCAAUACCGCGUGAGGGAGGAAGGCUCUUGGGUUGUAAACCUCUUUUCUCAGGGAAGAACACAAUGACGGUACCUGAGGAAUCAGCAUCGGCUAACUCCGUGCCAGCAGCCGCGGUAAUACGGAGGAUGCAAGCGUUAUCCGGAAUGAUUGGGCGUAAAGCGUCCGCAGGUGGCUAUGUAAGUCUGCUGUUAAAGAGUGAGGCUCAACCUCAUAAGAGCAGUGGAAACUACAUAGCUAGAGUGCGUUCGGGGCAGAGGGAAUUC
Molecule: ribosomal RNA, 438 nt
Filed under: Nostoc carneum AUS-JR/DB/NT-016
Lineage: Bacteria; Bacillati; Cyanobacteriota; Cyanophyceae; Nostocales; Nostocaceae
Description: bacterial SSU rRNA
Rfam family: Bacterial small subunit ribosomal RNA
Source: RNAcentral